CCGACGGUGAGAGGCGAAAGCUGGGGGAGCAAACCGGAUUAGAUACCCGGGUAGUCCCAGCCGUAAACGAUGUGCGUUAGGUGUAUCGGUGACCACGAGUCACCGAGGUGCCGAAGAGAAAUCGUGAAACGUACCGCCUGGGAAGUACGGUCGCAAGGCUGAAACUUAAAGGAAUUGGCGGGGGAGCACCACAACAGGUGGAGCCUGCGGUUUAAUCGGACUCAACGCCGGGAAACUCACCAGAUAAGACAGCUGAAUGAUAGUCGGGCUGAAGACUCUACUUGACUAGCUGAGAGGAGGUGCAUGGCCGUCGUCAGUUCGUACUGUGAAGCAUCCUGUUAAGUCAGGCAGCGAGCGAGACCCAGCCAACAGUUGCUA
Molecule: ribosomal RNA, 378 nt
Filed under: uncultured archaeon
Lineage: Archaea
Description: bacterial SSU rRNA
Rfam family: Archaeal small subunit ribosomal RNA
Source: RNAcentral